Molecule: long non-coding RNA, 325 nt
Organism: Rhea pennata
Lineage: Eukaryota; Metazoa; Chordata; Aves; Rheiformes; Rheidae
Exons: 3
Source: RefSeq, a predicted model, not a curated record
GCCCGCGGACGGCGAGACGCGAGUCCCACCUCUGCGGCACGGGAGCGCGCUCCUUCCGCACGGAGCACCCAGCCUGGUAAUUGCUCCUCUACUCCUGGAUGUGACAGAGUCUAGUCUUUUCCUCUCUCCAGAAGUUACAGACCUCAAAACCUUUUACCAACACUGCUUGACCUAGGUCUCACAGCCAGCCAUCCUGUAAAAAGAACUUAUGAAUUCUUGUUUGCCCUGCUGACUACCAAGUUACUCCUCUCCCCACAUCCUGAAACACCAGCUACAUGUCCUUUUGUGCCACGCUGAGACAUCAAUCACUUCAUCCACCUACAAA